AGUUUUGCUCCAAGGACCAAUCGGACCUUGGCGAAAGGCUCAGUAACACGUCGAUAAUCUACCUUAUGGUUCAGGAUAACCUUGGGAAACUGAGGAUAAAACUGAAUAGAAGAUUGAUAUUGGAAUAUACUUUCUUUGAAACUUCGGGCCAUAAGAUGAGUCGGCGGCUGAUUAGGUUGUUGGUGAGGUAAAGGCUCACCAAGCCGAAGAUCAGUAAGGGGGAUGAGAGUCCUAGCCCUGAGAAGGACACUGAGAAAAGGGUCCUAGCCCUAAGGGGUGCAGCAGCCGCGAAACCUUUACAAUGCACGAAAGUGUGAUAAGGGAAUCCCAAGUGCUUACCUUACGGUAGGCUUUUGUUGAGUGUAAAUACCUCGACGAAUAAGUGGUGGGCAAUACUGGUGCCAGCAGCCGCGGUAACACCAGAGCCACGAGUGGUAACCAUGAUUAUUGGGCCUAAAGGGUUCGUAGCCGAUUUAGCAACUCUUUUGUGAAAUUGUUAGGCUUAACUUAACAAUGUGCAAAAGAAACUACUAAGUUAGAGACCGGGAAAGGAUAGAGGUAUUCUUUGGGAAGCGGUUAAAUGCUUUAAUCCUUAGAAGACCGCCAAUGGCGAAGGCAUCUAUCUAGAACGGGUCUGACGGUGAGGAACGAAAGCUAGGGGAGCAAACCGGAUUAGAUACCCGAGUAGUCCUAGCUGUAAACGCUGUGAACUGGGUGUUGCAUAUUCUUCGAGGAUGUGCAGUGCCGGAGCGAAGGUGUUAAGUUCACCGCCUGGGAAGUACGGCCGCAAGACUGAAACUUUAAGGAAUUGGCGGGGGCGCACUACAAGGAGUGAGGCGUGCGGUUUAAUCUAAGUCUACACAGAAAAUCUUACCAGAAGCGACGGCAAAAUGAAGGUCAGAUUAAAGGUUUUACCUAAUGAGCCGAGAGGUGCUGCAUGGCCGACGUCAGCUCGUGCCGCAAGGUGUCAUGUUAAGUCAUGCAACGAGCAAGACCUGUACUUACAGUUGCUAUCGAGUCAAUUUGAUGUUCGAGCACACUGUGGGGACUGCCUUGGUAACGAGGAGGAAGGUGCAGGCAACGUUGGGUCUGUAUGGCCCGAAUCUCCUGGGAUACACGCGCGCAUCAAUGGUAAGGACAAUGGGAUACGACUCUGAAAAGAGAAGUUAAUCUCUAAACCUUAUCUCAGUCUAGAUUGAAGGUUGUAACUCACCUUCAUGACACUGGAAUUCCUAGUAAUCGUGUUUCAUCAGAGCACGGUGAAUAUGUCAAUGUGCCUUGCACACACUACCCAUCAAAUCAACCGAGCAGGGUUUAGGUGAGUGUUAAUUUUUAAUUAAUACGAACCUGAGUUCAGUGAGGUGGGUUAAGUUGUCACAAGGUA
RNAcentral lists this ribosomal RNA (1384 nucleotides) under metagenome. RNAcentral's name for it is "bacterial SSU rRNA". It matches the Rfam family "Archaeal small subunit ribosomal RNA". The record is from RNAcentral.